AUGGAGUGCGAGAACGGGCACGUUGCCGCCAACGGCGAUGGCCUGUGUGUGGCGCAGCCGGCGCGGGCCGACCCGCUCAACUGGGGGAAGGCGGCGGAGGAGCUGUCCGGCAGCCACUUGGAUGCCGUGAAGCGGAUGGUCGAGGAGUACCGUAAGCCGGUGGUGACGAUGGAGGGCGCCAGCCUGACCAUUGCCAUGGUCGCCGCGGUGGCUGCCGGCAGCGACACCAGGGUGGAGCUCGACGAGUCCGCUCGCGGCCGCGUCAAGGAGAGCAGCGACUGGGUCAUGAACAGCAUGAUGAACGGCACCGACAGCUACGGUGUCACCACAGGCUUCGGCGCCACCUCUCACCGGAGGACCAAGGAGGGCGGCGCUCUCCAGAGGGAGCUCAUCCGAUUCCUUAACGCUGGAGCCUUCGGCAACGGCAGCGACGGCCACGUUCUGCCUGCUGCGGCGACGAGGGCAGCCAUGCUCGUGCGUGUCAACACCCUGCUUCAGGGAUAUUCUGGCAUCCGCUUCGAGAUCCUCGAGACGAUCGCCACGCUCCUCAACGCCAACGUGACACCAUGCCUACCGCUUAGGGGCACUAUCACCGCGUCUGGUGACCUGGUCCCGCUUUCCUAUAUUGCGGGACUGGUAACCGGCCGCCCAAACUCCAUCGCCACGGCUCCGGAUGGCACCAAGGUUAACGCGGUGGAGGCAUUUAAGAUUGCUGGCAUCCAGCAUGGCUUCUUCGAGUUGCAGCCCAAGGAAGGCCUUGCCAUGGUGAACGGCACAGCAGUUGGCUCAGGGCUUGCAUCCAUGGUCCUUUUCGAGGCUAACAUCCUUAGCCUCCUUGCAGAGGUCCUGUCGGCUGUCUUCUGUGAGGUCAUGAACGGCAAGCCGGAGUACACCGACCACUUGACCCAUAAGUUGAAGCACCACCCUGGGCAGAUCGAGGCUGCCGCCAUCAUGGAGCACAUACUUGAAGGCAGCUCCUACAUGAUGCUUGCUAAGAAGCUCGGCGAGCUCGACCCAUUGAUGAAGCCAAAGCAAGAUAGAUAUGCACUCCGCACAUCACCGCAGUGGCUCGGUCCUCAGAUUGAGGUCAUCCGUGCUGCCACCAAGUCCAUUGAGCGAGAGAUCAACUCCGUCAACGACAACCCACUCAUCGACGUCUCUCGCGACAAGGCUAUCCAUGGUGGAAACUUCCAGGGCACACCAAUCGGUGUGUCUAUGGACAACACCAGGCUUGCCAUUGCUGCGAUUGGCAAGCUCAUGUUUGCCCAAUUCUCAGAGUUGGUGAACGACUUCUACAACAACGGUCUUCCUUCCAACCUCUCUGGUGGGCGCAACCCGAGCUUGGACUAUGGCUUCAAGGGUGCCGAGAUUGCCAUGGCCUCGUACUGCUCCGAGCUCCAGUUCUUGGGCAACCCUGUGACCAACCAUGUCCAGAGCGCAGAGCAGCACAACCAAGAUGUCAACUCUCUUGGCCUCAUCUCCUCAAGGAAGACUGCCGAGGCCAUUGACAUACUGAAGCUCAUGUCCUCGACAUUCUUGGUCGCGUUGUGCCAGGCUAUCGACCUCCGCCACCUUGAGGAGAAUGUCAAGAAUGCCGUGAAGAGUUGUGUGAAGACUGUGGCUAGGAAGACACUGAGCACCAACAACAAUGGUCAUCUCCACAAUGCGCGCUUCUGUGAGAAGGACUUGUUGCUCACAAUCGACCGUGAGGCGGUGUUCGCUUACGCGGAUGACCCCUGCAGCGCCAACUACCCACUGAUGCAGAAGAUGCGUGCAGUUCUCGUGGAGCAUGCCUUGGCCAAUGGUGAGGCUGAGCGCGAUGCGGAGACAUCAGUGUUUGCUAAACUUGCCAUAUUUGAACAGGAGCUCCGUGCAGUGCUUCCAAAGGAGGUCGAGGCUGCCCGAAGUGCCGUGGAGAACGGUACUGCUACACAACAAAACCGUAUCACCGAAUGUCGAUCAUACCCUCUCUACCGAUUCGUGCGCAAGGAGCUUGGAACUGAGUAUUUGACCGGGGAGAAGACUAGGUCUCCCGGUGAAGAGGUGGACAAGGUGUUCGUUGCUAUGAACCAGGGCAAGCACAUUGAUGCACUACUUGAGUGUCUCAAGGGGUGGAACGGUGAGCCCCUACCUAUCUGCUGA
RNAcentral lists this ribosomal RNA (2142 nucleotides) under Triticum aestivum (bread wheat). Its description in RNAcentral is "partial small subunit ribosomal RNA". Lineage: Eukaryota; Viridiplantae; Streptophyta; Magnoliopsida; Poales; Poaceae. The record is from RNAcentral.